CACGUGGGUAACCUGCCCUUAAGUGGGGGAUAACAUUUGGAAACAGAUGCUAAUACCGCAUAAAUCCAAGAACCGCAUGGUUCUUGGCUGAAAGAUGGCGUAAGCUAUCGCUUUUGGAUGGACCCGCGGCGUAUUAGCUAGUUGGUGAGGUAACGGCUCACCAAGGCAAUGAUACGUAGCCGAACUGAGAGGUUGAUCGGCCACAUUGGGACUGAGACACGGCCCAAACUCCUACGGGAGGCAGCAGUAGGGAAUCUUCCACAAUGGACGCAAGUCUGAUGGAGCAACGCCGCGUGAGUGAAGAAGGCUUUCGGGUCGUAAAACUCUGUUGUUGGAGAAGAAUGGUCGGCAGAGUAACUGUUGUCGGCGUGACGGUAUCCAACCAGAAAGCCACGGCUAACUACGUGCCAGCAGCCGCGGUAAUACGUAGGUGGCAAGCGUUAUCCGGAUUUAUUGGGCGUAAAGCGAGCGCAGGCGGUUUUUUAAGUCUGAUGUGAAAGCCCUCGGCUUAACCGAGGAAGUGCAUCGGAAACUGGGAAACUUGAGUGCAGAAGAGGACAGUGGAACUCCAUGUGUAGCGGUGAAAUGCGUAGAUAUAUGGAAGAACACCAGUGGCGAAGGCGGCUGUCUGGUCUGUAACUGACGCUGAGGCUCGAAAGCAUGGGUAGCGAACAGGAUUAGAUACCCUGGUAGUCCAUGCCGUAAACGAUGAAUGCUAGGUGUUGGAGGGUUUCCGCCCUUCAGUGCCGCAGCUAACGCAUUAAGCAUUCCGCCUGGGGAGUACGACCGCAAGGUUGAAACUCAAAGGAAUUGACGGGGGCCCGCACAAGCGGUGGAGCAUGUGGUUUAAUUCGAAGCAACGCGAAGAACCUUACCAGGUCUUGACAUCUUUUGAUCACCUGAGAGAUCAGGUUUCCCCUUCGGGGGCAAAAUGACAGGUGGUGCAU
This 947-nucleotide ribosomal RNA is filed under the name Lacticaseibacillus rhamnosus. RNAcentral describes it as "bacterial SSU rRNA". It matches the Rfam family "Bacterial small subunit ribosomal RNA", at positions 114 to 1046 of the family's 1533-position model. The record is from RNAcentral. Lineage: Bacteria; Bacillati; Bacillota; Bacilli; Lactobacillales; Lactobacillaceae.